Molecule: ribosomal RNA, 153 nt
Filed under: uncultured Glomus
Lineage: Eukaryota; Fungi; Glomeromycota; Glomeromycetes; Glomerales; Glomeraceae
Description: partial 18S ribosomal RNA
Rfam family: Eukaryotic small subunit ribosomal RNA
Source: RNAcentral
AGCAGCCGCGGUAAUUCCAGCUCCAAUAGCGUAUAUUAAAGUUGUUGCAGUUAAAAAGCUCGUAGUUGAAUUUCGGGAUUGGCGCAUCGGUCGUGCCUCGACGGGGUAUGAACUGGUGCAGUCUAAUUUCUCCUACCCUUUCGUGGGAACGAA